Molecule: ribosomal RNA, 253 nt
Filed under: uncultured bacterium
Lineage: Bacteria
Description: partial 16S ribosomal RNA
Rfam family: Bacterial small subunit ribosomal RNA
Source: RNAcentral
GACAGAGGGGGCAAGCGUUGCUCGGAAUCACUGGGCGUAAAGGGCGCGUAGGCGGGAUGGCAAGUCAGUCGUGAAAUCUCUCGGCUCAACCGAGAAACGUCGGCUGAUUCUGCCGUUCUUGAGGGAUGCAGAGGAGACUGGAAUUCCCGGUGUAGCGGUGAAAUGUGUAGAGAUCGGGAGGAACACCGGUGGCGAAGGCGGGUCUCUGGGCAUUUCCUGACGCUGAGGCGCGAAAGCGUGGGGAGCAAACAGG